This 401-nucleotide ribosomal RNA is filed under the name uncultured Anaerofustis sp. Its description in RNAcentral is "bacterial SSU rRNA". It matches the Rfam family "Bacterial small subunit ribosomal RNA", at positions 356 to 774 of the family's 1533-position model. The record is from RNAcentral. Lineage: Bacteria; Bacillati; Bacillota; Clostridia; Eubacteriales; Eubacteriaceae.
GGGGAAUUUUGCGCAAUGGGGGAAACCCUGACGCAGCAACGCCGCGUGAGCGAUGAAGGUUUUCGGAUCGUAAAGCUCUGUCUUUGGGGAAGAUAAUGACGGUACCCAAGGAGGAAGCUCCGGCUAACUACGUGCCAGCAGCCGCGGUAAUACGUAGGGAGCAAGCGUUGUCCGGAUUCACUGGGCGUAAAGAGCACGUAGGCGGUUAAUUAAGUCAGGUGUGAAAGUUUUCGGCUCAACCGGAAAAGUGCACUUGAAACUGGAUAACUUGAGUAUCGGAGAGGUAAGCGGAAUUCCUAGUGUAGCGGUGAAAUGCGUAGAGAUUAGGAAGAACACCGGUGGCGAAGGCGGCUUACUGGACGAUAACUGACGCUGAGGUGCGAAAGCGUGGGGAGCGAACA